CCCUUAGAUGUUCUGGGCCGCACGCGCGCUACACUGAUGCAUUCAACGAGUCUAAAACCUGCUCUGAUAGGGGUGGGUAAUCUUUUGAAUGUGCAUCGUGAUUGGGAUAGAUGAUUGCAAUUUUUCAUCUUCAACGAGGAAUGCCUAGUAAACGCAAGUCAUCAGCUUGCAUUGAUUACGUCCCUGCCCUUUGUACACACCGCCCGUCGCUCCUACCGAUUGAAUGAUCCGAUGAAUAUCAUGGAUUGAGGAUGCAAGUAGGUUAGCCUAUCUUCAUCUUCGAGAAGUGAAGUAAAUCUUAUCAUUUAGAGGAAGGGGAAGUCGUAACA
RNAcentral lists this ribosomal RNA (329 nucleotides) under uncultured eukaryote. RNAcentral describes it as "partial 18S ribosomal RNA". It matches the Rfam family "Eukaryotic small subunit ribosomal RNA", at positions 1470 to 1796 of the family's 1831-position model. The record is from RNAcentral.